CCUACGGGAGGCAGCAGUGAGGAAUAUUGGUCAAUGGGCGGAAGCCUGAACCAGCCAAGUCGCGUGCGGGAUUAAGGCCCUAUGGGUCGUAAACCUCUUUUGUCCGGGAGCAAGGUCGACCACGUGUGGUCGUCUGGAGGGUACCUGCAGAUAAAGCAUCGGCUAAUUCCGUGCCAGCAGCCGCGGUAAUACGGAGGAUGCGAGCGUUAUCGGGAUUUAUUGGGUUAAAAGGGUGCGUAGGGGGGACCUUAAGUCAGCGGUAAAAUUUCGGGGCUCAACGGCGUAGAGCCGUUGAAACUGGGGCUCUUGAGUGAGCGAGAAGUAUGCGGAAUGCGUGGUGUAGCGGUGAAAUGCAUAGAUAUCACGCAGAACACCGAUUGCGAAGGCAGCAUACCGGUGCUUAACUGACGCUGAGGCACGAAAGUGCGGGUAGCGAACAGGAUUAGAUACCCGAGUAGUC
This 460-nucleotide ribosomal RNA is filed under the name uncultured bacterium. Its description in RNAcentral is "partial 16S ribosomal RNA". It matches the Rfam family "Bacterial small subunit ribosomal RNA", at positions 338 to 795 of the family's 1533-position model. The record is from RNAcentral.